UACGGAGGUGGCAAGCGUUGCUCGGAAUCACUGGGCGUAAAGGGCGCGUAGGCGGGGAGGUAAGUCGGGUGUGAAAUCCCUCGGCCCAACCGAGGAACUGCGCCCGAGACUGCUUCUCUUGAGUCCCGGAGAGGAAGGUGGAAUUCCCGGUGUAGCGGUGAAAUGUGUAGAGAUCGGGAGGAACACCGGUGGCGAAGGCGGUCUUCUGGACGGUGACUGACGCUGAGGCGCGAAAGCGUGGGGAGCAAACGGG
This 253-nucleotide ribosomal RNA is filed under the name uncultured bacterium. RNAcentral describes it as "partial 16S ribosomal RNA". It matches the Rfam family "Bacterial small subunit ribosomal RNA", at positions 524 to 776 of the family's 1533-position model. The record is from RNAcentral.